This 78-nucleotide transfer RNA is filed under the name Puniceicoccales bacterium. RNAcentral describes it as "tRNA-Glu". It matches the Rfam family "tRNA". From Rfam's summary of the family: Transfer RNA (tRNA) molecules are approximately 80 nucleotides in length. Lineage: Bacteria; Pseudomonadati; Verrucomicrobiota; Opitutia; Puniceicoccales. The record is from RNAcentral.
GUCCCCUUCGUCUAGCCCGGUCUAGGACACCAGGUUUUCAUCCUGGGUACUGGGGUUCGAAUCCCCAAGGGGGCGCCA